RNAcentral lists this ribosomal RNA (305 nucleotides) under uncultured bacterium. RNAcentral's name for it is "bacterial SSU rRNA". It matches the Rfam family "Bacterial small subunit ribosomal RNA", at positions 333 to 632 of the family's 1533-position model. The record is from RNAcentral.
AGAGCCUACGGGAGGCAGCAGUAGGGAAUUUUCGUCAAUGGGCGCAAGCCUGAACGAGCAAUGUCGCGUGAACGAGGAAGGUCUUCGGAUCGUAAAGUUCUGUUGAAGGGGAAAAAGAGCGGAGAGAGGAAAUGAACUCCGAUUGAUAUUACCCUUCGAGGAAGUCACGGCUAACUACGUGCCGGCAGCCGCGGUAAUACGUAGGUGGCGAGCGUUAUCCGGAAUGAUUGGGCGUAAAGGGUGCGUAGGCGGCCUGCUAAGUCUGGAGUGAAAGGUACCGGCUCAACCGGUACAGGCCUUGGAAA